UGUAUCUGAAGCCUGACGAGGAUGAGAACCUCCGGGGGCAAGAGGUUCGACCCGAGCGAAGCGAGAAAACGUUGCGUCAGCAACGGCCCGCAGGGCGAGCCAUCCUCUAUCACCGGCAG
RNAcentral lists this small RNA (119 nucleotides) under Salmonella enterica subsp. enterica serovar Oranienburg. RNAcentral describes it as "RtT sRNA". It matches the Rfam family "RtT RNA". From Rfam's summary of the family: This family represents a bacterial cis-regulatory element known as RtT RNA. The exact function of RtT is unknown although it is thought that it may be involved in changing the cellular response in relation to amino acid starvation. Lineage: Bacteria; Pseudomonadati; Pseudomonadota; Gammaproteobacteria; Enterobacterales; Enterobacteriaceae. The record is from RNAcentral. RNAcentral also lists the same sequence under 42 other names.